GACGAACGCUGGCGGCGCGCCUAACACAUGCAAGUCGAACGGAGCUGCGAGAAGCUUGCUUUUCUUAGCUUAGUGGCGAACGGGUGAGUAACGCGUGAGUAACCUGCCCUGGAGUGGGGGACAACAGUUGGAAACGACUGUUAAUACCGCAUAAGCCCACGAUCCGGCAUCGGAUUGAGGGAAAAGGAUUUAUUCGCUUCAGGAUGGACUCGCGUCCAAUUAGCUAGUUGGUGAGGUAACGGCCCACCAAGGCGACGAUUGGUAGCCGGACUGAGAGGUUGAACGGCCACAUUGGGACUGAGACACGGCCCAGACUCCUACGGGAGGCAGCAGUGGGGGAUAUUGCACAAUGGGGGAAACCCUGAUGCAGCGACGCCGCGUGGAGGAAGAAGGUUUUCGGAUUGUAAACUCCUGUCGUUAGGGACGAUAAUGACGGUACCUAACAAGAAAGCACCGGCUAACUACGUG
RNAcentral lists this ribosomal RNA (468 nucleotides) under uncultured bacterium. Its description in RNAcentral is "partial 16S ribosomal RNA". It matches the Rfam family "Bacterial small subunit ribosomal RNA", at positions 28 to 507 of the family's 1533-position model. The record is from RNAcentral.